CAGCCGCCGCGGUAACACCGAGGGUGCGAGCGUUAAUCGGAUUUACUGGGCGUAAAGCGUGCGUAGGCGGCUUUUUAAGUCGGAUGUGAAAUCCCUGAGCUUAACUUAGGAAUUGCAUUCGAUACUGGGAAGCUAGAGUAUGGGAGAGGAUGGUAGAAUUCCAGGUGUAGCGGUGAAAUGCGUAGAGAUCUGGAGGAAUACCGAUGGCGAAGGCAGCCAUCUGGCCUAAUACUGACGCUGAGGUACGAAAGCAUGGGGAGCAAACAGGAUUAGAUACCCCUGUAGUCCCUGUCUCUUAUAC
This 301-nucleotide ribosomal RNA is filed under the name uncultured bacterium. RNAcentral's name for it is "partial 16S ribosomal RNA". It matches the Rfam family "Bacterial small subunit ribosomal RNA", at positions 509 to 807 of the family's 1533-position model. The record is from RNAcentral.